This 229-nucleotide unclassified non-coding RNA is filed under the name plant metagenome. Its description in RNAcentral is "partial contains small subunit ribosomal RNA, internal transcribed spacer 1, and 5.8S ribosomal RNA". The record is from RNAcentral.
UCUCCGUAGGUGAACCUGCGGAGGGAUCAUUACAGAGUUCAUGCCCUACCGGGUAGAUCUCCCACCCCAUGUUAUUAUUACUUUGUUGCUUUGGCGGGCCGUUAGGCUCCGGCCCGACUACCGGCCCCGGCUGGUAAGCGCCCGCCAGAGGACCCAAAACCCUGAAUAUUAGUGUCGUCUGAGUACUAUAUAAUAGUUAAAACUUUCAACAACGGAUCUCUUGGCUCUG